This is a non-coding RNA of Cicer arietinum (chickpea), 337 nucleotides long. Lineage: Eukaryota; Viridiplantae; Streptophyta; Magnoliopsida; Fabales; Fabaceae. The record is from RefSeq and is a predicted model, not a curated record.
GAAAAUAAGGAGAAGAAGAAAAAAAACAUAAAAAAUAUUGACAAAACCAGAAAAGAGAAAAAAAAAGUGCAAUUAUUGCUAGAAGUCAAGGUAGAAAGAAUUGAGAGUACAAUUAUCUUCUUCAUUCUUUUGGAAGUCAAGAGGCUUAGAUCAAGAGUUGGAGAAAUGAAGCAUAUCAAUUUAUGUUAUAGCCUGCUUAAAAUUUCGAGGGAAUUAUUUUGAGCCAUGGAUGUGUUAUGUACUCCACUUUUUUUUUCUUUGAAGGAUUAGUAUGUGUUUUAAUACAUUUGUAUGAUUUUAUGUCGAAAUUUGUAUUAAUAAUUCUUUUGCCGAAUUA